Molecule: ribosomal RNA, 646 nt
Filed under: uncultured bacterium
Lineage: Bacteria
Description: bacterial SSU rRNA
Rfam family: Bacterial small subunit ribosomal RNA
Source: RNAcentral
AAGGGAAACCAUUAAGCAUUCCACCUGGGGAGUACGCCGGCAACGGUGAAACUCAAAGGAAUUGACGGGGGCCCGCACAAGCGGAGGAACAUGUGGUUUAAUUCGAUGAUACGCGAGGAACCUUACCCGGGCUUGAAUUGCAGAUGAACGAUCCAGAGAUGGUGAGGCCCUUCGGGGCAUCUGUGAAGGUGCUGCAUGGUUGUCGUCAGCUCGUGCCGUGAGGUGUCGGCUUAAGUGCCAUAACGAGCGCAACCCCUGUUCUUAGUUGCCAUCAGGUGAUGCUGGGCACUCUGGGAAUACUGCCACCGUAAGGUGUGAGGAAGGUGGGGAUGACGUCAAAUCAGCACGGCCCUUACGUCCGGGGCUACACACGUGUUACAAUGGCCGGUACAGAGAGUUGGUCGUGCGCAAGUACGGUCUAAUCCAUAAAACCGGUCUCAGUUCGGACUGGGGUCUGCAACCCGACCCCACGAAGCUGGAUUCGCUAGUAAUCGCGCAUCAGCCAUGGCGCGGUGAAUACGUUCCCGGGCCUUGUACACACCGCCCGUCAAGCCAUGAAAGCCGAGGGUGCCUGAAGUCCGUGACCGCAAGGAUCGGCCUAGGGCAAAAUCGGUAAUUGGGGCUAAGUCGUAACAAGGUAGCCGUA